UGCGGAGGGGGUUAGCGUGUUCGGAAUUACUGGGCGUAAAGCGCACGUAGGCGGAUUGACAAGUUGGGGGUGAAAUCCCGGGGCUCAACCCCGGAACUGCCUCCAAAACUGUCAGUCUUGAGUUCGAGAGAGGUGAGUGGAAUUCCGAGUGUAGGGGUGAAAUUCGUAGAUAUUCGGAGGAACACCAGUGGCGAAGGCGGCUCACUGGCUCGAUACUGACGCUGAGGUGCGAAAGCGUGGGGAGCAAACAGG
RNAcentral lists this ribosomal RNA (252 nucleotides) under uncultured bacterium. Its description in RNAcentral is "partial 16S ribosomal RNA". It matches the Rfam family "Bacterial small subunit ribosomal RNA", at positions 524 to 776 of the family's 1533-position model. The record is from RNAcentral.